Molecule: long non-coding RNA, 483 nt
Filed under: Homo sapiens (human)
Lineage: Eukaryota; Metazoa; Chordata; Mammalia; Primates; Hominidae
Description: non-protein coding lnc-CHIC1-9:2
Source: RNAcentral
UGAAUGUGAGCAUAGAUGUGGUGGUAGGUGCUGCAGGUUGCCCAUGCCUGAUCACAAGGGCCAGAUGCAUGGUGGCAACAGGGGUCAGGCUGUCUGCAUGUGUGUGUUUGUGUGUGUGUGCAUGCAGUAGUCCUGCAGAGAUCAGCCUUGAGUGUAUGUGGGGUCAAUUUCUGAGGUGAGGGGCUUUGGGGCUCUUUGCAGGCACAGGUGCAACAGCUGCACUGGGCCUCUGGGCCAGAGCACCCAUGUAAGCAACAUCAGGGGUGGCUUUGGAAAGGAUGGUUGUCUUAGGCACCUGCGGUAUAUGAAGGCCACUGCAGUAGUACCCUGGGCUGGGACAACCACAACAGAAGCAGUUCAGGUGGCUUUGGGGAGGAGGGUGGUUGGUUAGGCACCUAAAGACUUCAAGGCUCCUGGGUUGUGUCACCAGGCUGAGGAAACUGCAGCAAUAGCAAUCCUGCCCUACAUGGCUCCUGGGAAUGG